AAGUACCCCCACCAUGCUUACUUAAAUAUCUCAGCAUAUAGGUAUCUCUUCCUUAUGAGUCUAAUAUCCAAAUUUAGCCACUUACUUCUGUACCAUAACAAGGCAAAAGGCUGUCUCUUUUAUGCUGCAGCUCCACCAUUUUCAAGCUGGCAAGGCAUUGUGGAGAUUCUGCUCCAAUGGGAAACGGUAUUUAUAAUAUGCUGUAUGCUGUUACAAGCUCAUUACAUGCAAGACUCCUUCAAUUUUCAUAAGAACUCCUGAAAUAGAAAUUACUAUUGUUCUUACUCGACAGAUGUGUGCUACAAAUUAGGCUGUGGAACUUUGCAUUCCAGCAACGUCUUGUCUCGGCUGUACAACUGUUAUCUCAUGUAAACCUCGCAGCUGUGUCACUUCCUAACGACCACCAUCCUUGCAAGACAGCUGUUGUUCUUAAUUGGCAGAAAUAAAACA
This is a long non-coding RNA of Meriones unguiculatus (Mongolian gerbil), 450 nucleotides long. RefSeq lists it as uncharacterized. The record is from RefSeq and is a predicted model, not a curated record. Lineage: Eukaryota; Metazoa; Chordata; Mammalia; Rodentia; Muridae. The transcript is spliced from 3 exons.